Molecule: long non-coding RNA, 1574 nt
Organism: Triticum dicoccoides
Lineage: Eukaryota; Viridiplantae; Streptophyta; Magnoliopsida; Poales; Poaceae
Exons: 4
Source: RefSeq, a predicted model, not a curated record
CUCGGGUCAGAGCGAAGGCGAGGCGCUCUUCCCGCCGCUCCCCUCAAAGGCUCAAACUGCCAAAGUACACACGCGCGCCGCGCAGCGUCCGUCGCACCCCACCACGGCGGCGCAACCACCCACGCCUCGCCUCCCUCGCCGCCCGGCCGGAACCUUCUCAAUCUCACCGACUACCCGCCGGGCUCCUAUCCGCGCUUACCGUGCUCGACGCGUUCCCCGCCUCCUCUCGUGCCCACCGACGCCGCGGCGGCGGGAUCGGCGUCCGAUUCACGCGCGCCUUCUACGCCACCGAGCCGUGCGGUGCAGCCGCUCCCGCGUGUGAUCCUGCGCGGCCCGGUCUUGCACUGGAUGGAUCGCGGGGCGUGGGCUGCCAUUGCCUGGCCUCGGACGCGUGAUUUACCCAGGCGAAGUCGUCUGCUCUCGCAAGGGCGCGGUUCCUAUGGCACACGGCUGAAUUUCAGGGCAUGGUGCAUCAUUUGACGAAUUUCUAGUUCAAAGUUGCCCAGUUCUACAAUCUGCACAGGUUGGGGUGAGUAACGUGAGUGGACACCUUGAUUUUGCCAGGCUGCAAACAAUGGGGAAUGUCAUCACAAGUACAUCUUUAAGUGCUCUCUUGGGAACCAAAUUUCAACUCAUUCAGUCUGGGAAGUUCCCUUUUUUUCUGUUACACUCAAUGUCAUGGUUAUAAUAUUUUUAUAGUAGCAUAAUACAGUGAAUGCAUGAAACGGUGUUUGGUGUUCCCAAGUGGAUGUGUGUUGUUCAUGAUGUUUGUCCACCUCUGGUGGUUUUACCUGAACACUAUUUUCAAGUUGGUAAUACUCCAUUACAUACUCCCUCCGUCCGAAAAUAUUUGUCAUCAAAAUGAAUAAAAAGAGAUGUAUCUAGAACUAAAAUACAUCUAGAUACAUCCCCUUUUAUCCAUUUUGAUGACAAGUAUUUCCGGACGGAGGGAGUACUAUUAAAUUUAAAUACAUUCAUGCUGAAACUCUUUGUACUUGUACUAUACUGGUGUGUGCUUCUGCUGUCUCACCUAUAUAAUGUACCUGGGUAUUCAGAUAUGCGCCCAUUCUCUCACCUCAAGUAAUGUUUGUUCUACUUUAUUUCAUUGUUAUUUUACAUGUGACUGAUGUGAAACAUUUUCUCAUCUACCAAUAUGUACAUAAAAUGGAAAAUGAAAGAGAGUAGCAGCAAAUAGAUGUUUGACUUGAACAUUGGAUCCUGUGAGUUGAGGGAGCAAGGAGCAUGGGUCCCGUUUUUUGGGUGUCUUCCUGAGGAUACAGUACUUUUCGGUACCAAUGGUGUAUCUCCACCUACGGCUCAUAUAUAUGCUUGAUUUGCCUGACUGUGUGAGAAUGAAUAUAAUGGCUACUCGUGCAUCCAUGUGAAGUCACUCACUGUCUUUAAUAUCCCAUCUGAAAAGCAUAAUUUUGAACAAUCUGUGUGCUUUGAUACCCAGGCUGGCACAUCUAGGCCCAACAGGUUCAAAUUUGUUGAUAUCCGUAUCCUAUGAUUCUUGCCCGAAGUAAUAAUAUCAGGUCAGACAAGCUUUAGGUCUUGAACCUUUAUAAGUUUGA